RNAcentral lists this ribosomal RNA (661 nucleotides) under Bacillus subtilis. RNAcentral's name for it is "bacterial SSU rRNA". It matches the Rfam family "Bacterial small subunit ribosomal RNA", at positions 45 to 687 of the family's 1533-position model. The record is from RNAcentral. Lineage: Bacteria; Bacillati; Bacillota; Bacilli; Caryophanales; Bacillaceae.
UGCCUAAUACAUGCAAGUCGAGCGGACAGAUGGGAGCUUGCUCCCUGAUGUUAGCGGCGGACGGGUGAGUAACACGUGGGUAACCUGCCUGUAAGACUGGGAUAACUCCGGGAAACCGGGGCUAAUACCGGAUGGUUGUUUGAACCGCAUGGUUCAAACAUAAAAGGUGGCUUCGGCUACCACUUACAGAUGGACCCGCGGCGCAUUAGCUAGUUGGUGAGGUAACGGCUCACCAAGGCAACGAUGCGUAGCCGACCUGAGAGGGUGAUCGGCCACACUGGGACUGAGACACGGCCCAGACUCCUACGGGAGGCAGCAGUAGGGAAUCUUCCGCAAUGGACGAAAGUCUGACGGAGCAACGCCGCGUGAGUGAUGAAGGUUUUCGGAUCGUAAAGCUCUGUUGUUAGGGAAGAACAAGUACCGUUCGAAUAGGGCGGUACCUUGACGGUACCUAACCAGAAAGCCACGGCUAACUACGUGCCAGCAGCCGCGGUAAUACGUAGGUGGCAAGCGUUGUCCGGAAUUAUUGGGCGUAAAGGGCUCGCAGGCGGUUUCUUAAGUCUGAUGUGAAAGCCCCCGGCUCAACCGGGGANGGGUCAUUGGAAACUGGGGAACUUGAGUGCAGAAGANGAAGUGGAAUUCCACGUGUAGCGGGUGGAAU